RNAcentral lists this long non-coding RNA (890 nucleotides) under Vulpes vulpes (red fox). RNAcentral describes it as "lncRNA (ENSVVUG00000005502.1)". Lineage: Eukaryota; Metazoa; Chordata; Mammalia; Carnivora; Canidae. The record is from RNAcentral.
CGGGGGCUCAUUUCUUCAGGACGGUUGGUCACAUGCAAAGCUGCUGGGGAAGCAGGCUCCUCUGGUUCCUCUGGUUCCUCUGGUCUCGGUACUCCCCCCUGGGUGCUCCCCCAGAGCCCUGCUGGCCCCUCCACUGGGAGCAAAGCGAACGAUACGCACACCAGCAAGCUGGAGGGUGAGAAAGCAGAAAUGAAGUUGUUCCCCCCCCCCCGCCCCGCCCGAAUUACUAUGGAACAAUGUGCAGCUCUAUUGUACUUUAACAAGUCAUCCCGUUGCCAUGGUAACCCGGAAGAGGCCUUUGAAGUUCCUCUGGAUGGACAGAGGGAUGCGGGGCGCGGGCCCUGCGGCUCCCGGGCUGGCCGCCAGAGGGCGCGCUCGGGGCGGGGAAGCGCAGCAGGUGUCAGGAGCAGAGAAGAGCUUCCUUCCGCUGCCAGAGAUGGAGGACUCACUACAUCAUACCUGAAGGGCUGAUUUAUGGAAGCGAAGCAGCCCACAUUUGAACACAUUUUUGAUCAGAGCUGGAGGAAUGUGGGCAGAGGAGGCAUCGGAGGGACAGAGGGCUCAGUGCCUGCUUUUAAGCCCUGCCUGCGGCAUGAUUUUCAAAGACCUGUAGAGGGUCAUUCACUAGGAAGGGCUCUCUGAAGCCAUCUGUACCUGCGCCACCUCCUUCCUCAGAGUCUUGAGGCAGCAGGAACCUGUCCUCCCCAAAGGGGCCUUUGCACGGACCAGCCUGCAUGGCCAGUCAGGCCACCAGGGGCCGGUGACUCAGAGGCUGCCUCUAACUGCUCAGGGCUCCAUCCAUACUUUUGCACCCGUGUGCAAAGACAGGGUAUAGCCUGGAGNAGCCCCCCCCUAAAAAAAAAAAAAAAAAAAAAAAAAAAUCAGGAAAG